RNAcentral lists this ribosomal RNA (301 nucleotides) under uncultured bacterium. Its description in RNAcentral is "partial 16S ribosomal RNA". It matches the Rfam family "Bacterial small subunit ribosomal RNA", at positions 509 to 807 of the family's 1533-position model. The record is from RNAcentral.
CAGUCGCCGCGGUAAUACGUAGGGUGCAAGCGUUAAUCGGAAUUACUGGGCGUAAAGCGUGCGCAGGCGGUUUGUUAAGACAGAUGUGAAAUCCCCGGGCUCAACCUGGGAACUGCAUUUGUGACUGUAUAGCUAGAGUACGGCAGAGGGGGAUGGAAUUCCGCGUGUAGCAGUGAAAUGCGUAGAUAUUCGGAGGAACACCGAUGGCGAAGGCAAUCCCCUGGGCCUGUACUGACGCUCAUGCACGAAAGCGUGGGGAGCAAACAGGAUUAGAUACCCCCGUAGUCCCUGUCUCUUAUAC